AGGGUCUUGUAAAAGGACAAUUCUAUCCAUUAUUUUAAAUUAAACUAAAAUGAAGAAAAAUACUAAAAAAAUUAAAUUAAAAUAGGCUUAAUUUAUUUUAUCAUCAUCUGCACUGACAAACUCAUGAAUAAUAUUCCCACCUCAAUAAAGUUUCGCCAUAGCCAUUAAGAAACAUUGUCAGGUUUAGGAACGAUUAAAUGAGUUCCAUUUGAACCACAUGUAUUGCAUGCCUCACAAUCAUUGAUGUCCAAGUUGUGACAUCCUCACUUUUCAUGCUCUCGGACUCUCAGUGCAUUUUUCAGGCUUAAAUCUGUCUUCAACUAUCUUUUUCGUCGAAUAUAAGCAUGAAUCCACUCAAUGCGCACACGGAAAGAGAGACUGUAAGAGUAACUUGAUCAAGCUCCACAUUAUCCGUUUGCAUUUCUCUGAACAUCUGUAUAGCUUUGUUUGAGUCCUGAUUAUCAAAACAGGCAGCAAUCAACGCUGUCCAGCGAAUGACAUUCUUGCUGGGAAUUACCUCAAACACUUGGUGUGCAUCAUCUAGAUUUCCCGCCGAUUCAGGAAGCUUAAAGGACUAUUAUAAAAUUAUUGACAAGGUCAUGAAUUCGCAUUCCUUUUCUAACCAAGGAUUUUCGAAUGCGUGCUUUGGUGGAUUACAAAAGAAAGUAGCUAUCGAUUAUAGAAGGCUUUGUUGUCGACAACUCUUUGAACAGCGAAAGGAUUUUUAUGGGAUUGGACUUGAGAUCAUUUUUAAGGGUUUGAUUGUUUUUCUUUCUUUCUUGAGGUGUGUAUGGAAGUGAAUACGAGGUUGUUUUCUACGGAAGACACAUUUUAAGAAUCUAAUCAUCUGGGGUUAUAAGACAAAGAGC
This 869-nucleotide long non-coding RNA is filed under the name Olea europaea subsp. europaea. Lineage: Eukaryota; Viridiplantae; Streptophyta; Magnoliopsida; Lamiales; Oleaceae. The record is from RNAcentral.